This 498-nucleotide ribosomal RNA is filed under the name uncultured Dorea sp. RNAcentral's name for it is "partial 16S ribosomal RNA". The record is from RNAcentral. Lineage: Bacteria; Bacillati; Bacillota; Clostridia; Lachnospirales; Lachnospiraceae.
CACGUAGUUAGCCGGGGCUUCUUAGUCAGGUACCGUCAUUUUCUUCCCUGCUGAUAGAGCUUUACAUACCGAAAUACUUCAUCGCUCACGCGGCGUCGCUGCAUCAGGGUUUCCCCCAUUGUGCAAUAUUCCCCACUGCUGCCUCCCGUAGGAGUCUGGGCCGUGUCUCAGUCCCAAUGUGGCCGUCCACCCUCUCAGGCCGGCUACUGAUCGUCGGCUUGGUGAGCCGUUACCUCACCAACUACCUAAUCAGACGCGGGUCCAUCUUACACCACCUCAGUUUUUACCUCUGUACCAUGCGGUACCGGGGUCUUAUGCGGUAUUAGCAGUCAUUUCUAACUGUUAUCCCCCUGUGUAAGGCAGGUUACCCACGCGUUACUCACCCGUCCGCCGCUCAGUCACAAAAUUUUCAUCCGAAGAAUCAAACUUAUGCGCUUCGCUCGACUUGCAUGUGUUAAGCACGCCGCCAGCGUUCAUCCUGAGCCAGGAUCAAACUCU